Y RNA from Callithrix jacchus (white-tufted-ear marmoset), 107 nucleotides. It matches the Rfam family "Y RNA". From Rfam's summary of the family: Y RNAs are components of the Ro ribonucleoprotein particle (Ro RNP), in association with Ro60 and La proteins. The Y RNAs and Ro60 and La proteins are well conserved, but the function of the Ro RNP is not known. In humans the RNA component can be one of four small RNAs -- hY1, hY3, hY4 and hY5. The record is from Ensembl. Lineage: Eukaryota; Metazoa; Chordata; Mammalia; Primates; Cebidae.
GAGUGGUCUGAAGGCAGUGAGUUAUCUCAAUUUAUUGUUCAGUUAUAGAUUGAACUCCUUUUUCAACUCUUUCCUCCCUUCUCAUUACUGCACUUGACCAGUCUUAA